This 253-nucleotide ribosomal RNA is filed under the name uncultured bacterium. Its description in RNAcentral is "partial 16S ribosomal RNA". It matches the Rfam family "Bacterial small subunit ribosomal RNA", at positions 524 to 776 of the family's 1533-position model. The record is from RNAcentral.
GACGGAAGGUGCAAGCGUUACUCGGAAUCACUGGGCGUAAAGCGUCCGCAGGCUUCUUUGUAAGUCUGGUGUAAAAGCACGGAGCUCAACUCCAUGUAUGUGCCGGAAACUGUAAAGAUAGAGUCACUCAGAGGCACCUGGAAUGCCGUGUGUAGGGGUAAAAUCCGUUGAUCCACGGUAGAACGCCAAAAGCGAAAGCAGGGUGCUGGGGGUGUACUGACGCUCAGGGACGAAAGCGUGGGGAGCAAAGGGG